Molecule: ribosomal RNA, 479 nt
Filed under: uncultured bacterium
Lineage: Bacteria
Description: partial 16S ribosomal RNA
Rfam family: Bacterial small subunit ribosomal RNA
Source: RNAcentral
GAUGAACGCUGGCGGCGUGCUUAACACAUGCAAGUCGAGCGAGAAGUUUUGAAAAGAUUCUUCGGAUGAAAUUUAAAAUGGAAAGCGGCGGACGGGUGAGUAACGCGUAGGCAACCUGCCCCAUACAAAGGGAUAGCAUUUGGAAACGAAUAUUAAUACCUUAUGAAACUUAACUAGUGCAUGCUAGGUAGGUCAAAGAUUUAUCGGUAUGGGAUGGGCCUGCGUCUGAUUAGCUAGUUGGUGAGGUAACGGCUCACCAAGGCGACGAUCAGUAGCCGACCUGAGAGGGUGAACGGCCACAUUGGAACUGAGACACGGUCCAAACUCCUACGGGAGGCAGCAGUGGGGAAUAUUGCACAAUGGGGGAAACCCUGAUGCAGCAACGUCGCGUGAACGAUGAAGGCCUUUGGGUCGUAAAGUUCUGUUCUAGGUGAUGAAAACUGACAGUAACCUAGGAGAAAGCCCCGGCUAACUCCGUG